GCUCCCGUAGCUCAACUGGCAGAGCGUCGCCCUCCGGAGGCGAAGGCUGCAGGUUCGAAUCCUGCCGGGAGUG
Molecule: transfer RNA, 73 nt
Filed under: bacterium
Lineage: Bacteria
Description: tRNA-Arg
Rfam family: tRNA
About the family: Transfer RNA (tRNA) molecules are approximately 80 nucleotides in length. Their secondary structure includes four short double-helical elements and three loops (D, anti-codon, and T loops).
Source: RNAcentral